Non-coding RNA from Pipistrellus kuhlii (Kuhl's pipistrelle), 578 nucleotides. Lineage: Eukaryota; Metazoa; Chordata; Mammalia; Chiroptera; Vespertilionidae. The record is from the annotation of a RefSeq genome assembly.
CUAAUUGCCUCCUUACAGGCCAGGGUCCUGUGCUCCUGCCUGGCUGGCCCUGUCCCCCUGCCAUCGGAGAAGACCCCAGGGGCCAGGGAAUGGCAUCGCUUUCCCUUCUGUGGGGCUGGGUGCUCAUGGCUGCCCUGAGCACAGGUGCCAAUGCGAGCUUCGUGGAGCAAAGGCCCAGGUGGGCCCUGGUACGUCGGGGACAGGCUGAAACCCUGAGCUGCUUCCUGAAGGAUGCCCAGUACCCCUUUAUGAGCUGGUACCAACAGGAUCUCCAGGGGCAACUCCAAGUGCUGAUGGCCAAUCUGCGGUUUUCUGGGGACAAGGAGGUCAAAUCCCUUCCUGGAGCAGAUUACCAGGCCACUCGGGUCAAUGACAAGGAGCUGAGGCUGCAGGUGGCCAAUGUGACCCAGGGCAGAACCCUGUACUGCACCUGCAGCAAAGACACAGUGAACACAGCCUGCAUAGCACAGCGAUGGACCACAGGUCUGGACCACCUGCAGACCUUGGCUCUGCCAUCUGCAGUUCCUGUGUUACAGACAGCAACUCUACUCAGCUCAGAGGGCCCCUGCGAGGAUUAA